AUUUGCAGAUUUCCGAGGACAACAGGGAGUGACCAUAUUCACUGCAUUGUUGGUAUCAUUCAUUAUGAGACUACAGACUUUCCGCAAAUUUCAGCAAGGGUAUUGGCAUCCCAUUAUUUAGUGGUAAGUUCCCAGGUAUCUUCUACUAGUGACAGUCUACUGGCAAAUCCAGACAUGCACUGGAAGGAUGCUGAUGUGGAGGUCACAGGGACACCUGAUCCAACAACUGUGGCAUUUCAUUCGGAGUAACAACCUCGCAUUUAUUUGAUAUGGGACCCGAUUAUUCAGAGAUUUCAGAGAACUGCAGAUUUUAUGAAGCUAUUUUUCACAGAAGAUUUGGUUUUUUUCAUCUAUAUUACCACCAACCAUUAUGCUGAGAUGGUCAUAUCUAGGGGGAAGGAUUGUCAUAUGCUUCCCAUGGAAGUUUGCAGCCUCUCGCUGAAGAAGAAUUGUACAGAUUUUUCUGCAUUAUCUUAUACAUGUCUGCUGUGAAGUUCCAGUUGAUAGACAUAUAUUGGUCAAUGCAUGCCGCUAUCGGAACAACCCAGUAUCAAGUAUUAUGUCUAGAAAUAGGUUUUAAAAGAUUGAAUAUAAGAAAACUUUUGUUAAAUAUGAUGCAAGUACAUUUAAAUCUAGUGCUUGAAAUAAGUACUUGAACAUUCGUAUACGUUGAACUUGGGGAGAAAAAACGGGUAGUACUUUUUGAUAACAUUUGAUAAGGUGUUGUUGCUUAGAAACCAAAUAUAUUUGAAUACAAAAAAUUAAAUUAUUUUAGAUUAACAAUAAAGAUCUUUGUUUUAAUGUAACAAUAUUCAUUCUAUUUAGUGGAACAUAAUGUCAAAACGCCAUAUUAUUAGAAAAUUAUUUAUAGGUAUAUAAAGUACGAAGUUUCCAUUUUAUUACCUUUGGCCUUAAUUUUCUUCAUCAUAUUUUUGAUAAAAACAUUUCAAAAUGAUUAAGAUCUAUUUAAAGAUUAUAUUUUUAAAAUAAUAUGACAUUUACUAAUCAUCAUGCAACGUAAUUAUGUUUAAAUUGUGUUGAAUGGAUGCAGAAAAGCAAAUUCUGGUCAAAAUUGUACCAU
Molecule: long non-coding RNA, 1081 nt
Organism: Ostrea edulis (European flat oyster)
Lineage: Eukaryota; Metazoa; Mollusca; Bivalvia; Ostreida; Ostreidae
Exons: 4
Source: RefSeq, a predicted model, not a curated record